Molecule: ribosomal RNA, 446 nt
Filed under: uncultured bacterium
Lineage: Bacteria
Description: partial 16S ribosomal RNA
Rfam family: Bacterial small subunit ribosomal RNA
Source: RNAcentral
AAUACGGGUGGCAGCAGUCGAGAAUCAUUCACAAUGGGGGAAACCCUGAUGGAGCGACGCCGCGUGGGGGAAUGAAGGCCUUCGGAUUGUAAACACCUGUCAUGUGGGAGCAAAUUAAAAAGAUAGUACCACAAGAGGAAGAGACGGCUAACUCUGUGCCAGCAGCCGCGGUAAUACCGAGGUCUCAAGCGUUGUUCGGAAUCACUGGGCGUAAGGCGUGCGUAGGCGGUUUCGUAAGUCGUGUGUGAAAGGCGCGGGCUCAACCCGCGGACGGCACAUGAUACUGCGAGACUAGAGUAAUGGAGAGGGAAGCGGAAUUCUCGGUGUAGCAGUGAAAUGCGUAGAUAUCGGGAGGAACACUCGUGGCGAAGGCGGGUUCCUGGACAUUAACUGACGCUGAGGCACGAAGGCCAGGGGAGCGAAAGGGAUUAGAUACCCGGGUAGUA